Molecule: ribosomal RNA, 461 nt
Filed under: uncultured bacterium
Lineage: Bacteria
Description: bacterial SSU rRNA
Rfam family: Bacterial small subunit ribosomal RNA
Source: RNAcentral
GAUGAACGCUAGCGGCGUGCCUAACACAUGCAAGUCGAACGUGAGAGGGUACUUGUAUCCUUGAAAGUGGCGGACGGGUGAGUAAGACGUAGGUGACCUGCCUCGAAGUGGGGGAUAACCAUUGGAAACGAUGGCUAAUACCGCAUAAGCUGGUGAUGAUGGGAAUUGUUAUCAGGAAAGCUUUAGUGCUUUGAGAGGGGCCUACGGCCGAUUAGCUAGUUGGUGAGGUAAAGGCUCACCAAGGCGAUGAUCGGUAGCUGGUCUGAGAGGACGAUCAGCCACACGGGAACUGAGACACGGUCCCGACUCCUACGGGGGGCAGCAGUGAGGAAUAUUCGGCAAUGGGGGCAACCCUGACCGAGCAACGCCGCGUGGAGGAUGACGGUUUUCGGAUUGUAAACUCCUUUUCUCAGGGAAGAGCGAGGACGGUACCUGAGGAAUAAGUCACGGCUAACUACGUG